AGGCAGGAAUGAGAUCUUGAUGAGUCUUUGCCCUCAGGUGUUCGGCAUGUACGUCGUCAAGCUGGCUGUUGCUAUGGUUUUGGCAGGUGGGGUACAGAGAAUAGAUGCGUCUGGAACCAAGGUGAGAGGAGAGUCUCAUCUGUUGCUCUUGGGCGAUCCAGGCACUGGGAAGUCACAGUUUUUGGAGUACGUCACGCUCUGUGCUCACCGCCGGAAUCAGAUCUACUAAUGCAGGCACUAUUCAGUUCUGUGCCGUUGCAUCAUAGUUUGCACGAUUGUGAUGCUGGUCAGGUCUGACAGUGGCGGCGGUCAAGGACUCUGGAGAGUGGCACCUGGAGGCUGGAGCCCUCGUUCUCUCUGAUGGAGGCCUGUGCUGCAUCGAUGAAUUCAAAAUUCACAGAAAAAAUCUGUGCAUUUAUUUAUUUUUUUAUUAACCAAAAGCUUGUGUGCUUCACAUU
This is a long non-coding RNA of Carassius gibelio (silver crucian carp), 458 nucleotides long. RefSeq lists it as uncharacterized. The transcript is spliced from 3 exons. The record is from RefSeq and is a predicted model, not a curated record. Lineage: Eukaryota; Metazoa; Chordata; Actinopteri; Cypriniformes; Cyprinidae.